Molecule: non-coding RNA, 768 nt
Filed under: Gromphadorhina portentosa (giant Madagascar hissing cockroach)
Lineage: Eukaryota; Metazoa; Arthropoda; Insecta; Blattodea; Blaberidae
Source: RNAcentral
GAUGAACUUUAUUCUUGUUUUAAAGUUUGCUUGAAUUUGAUUUUAUAUGUAAAUGGUUGUUUAACCUUAUCUAAAAGAUAGGUUGGUUUUUAAUCAGUAAGUGAAAUUAGUAAUUUGGGAAUCCAAUAAUUAGUUAUAAUAUAAGUAUUGAUAAAAUAUGUGCCAGCAUUCGCGGUUAUACAUAGGAUACUAGUGAAUUGAAUCAGUAUAUAUAGUUAUUUUAUGGGAUAAAUAUGAUCUAAUGAUUUUUGAGUGAAAUCUAAUUUUUUAUGAAUUAUUGGUUGAUAUAGGAGAAGCUAUGAAAUUUAAAUGAAUAGACUAGGAUUAGAUACCCUAUUAUUUUGAAUGUAAAAUUAUUAGAAUUAGAGUAGUAUUAGUUAUGGUCUUGAAACUUAAAGAAUUUGGCGGUAUUUUAGUCUGUUUAGAGGAAUCUGUCCCUUAAUCGAUAAUCCACGUUGAACCUUACUUAAUUUAGGUAUGUAUACCGCCGUUGUUGAAAAUCUUUUUAGAGUUAAUUUCUUAAUUUUUUAUUAGUAAAUAUCUCAGGUCAAGGUGCAGCUUAUGAUUAAGUGGAGAUGGAUUACAAUAUUAUCAGAUAAACGAAUUUUUUAAUUAGAAUUGAAAUGAAGGUGGAUUUAAUUGUAAAUUUGUGAAGAUUAUCAAGUUGAUAUAAGCUCUAAGAUGUGUACACAUCGCCCGUCACUCUCGUUAAUUAAGAUGAGAUAAGUCGUAACAAAGUAGGUGUACCGGAAGGUGUAGCUAGAAUGU